RNAcentral lists this long non-coding RNA (663 nucleotides) under Bemisia tabaci. Its description in RNAcentral is "lncRNA ENSSSA1NGG005633". The record is from RNAcentral. Lineage: Eukaryota; Metazoa; Arthropoda; Insecta; Hemiptera; Aleyrodidae.
AUUAAUAUCGCGGUGCGAUAUGAUCAGGCAAGCUCAAACGACCCGAAAGCAGAAUUUUUGGCAAUUGCUCGUAGAAGCGCGAUGAUGUGUUCCUUGGUGAGGCCGAGUGUAGGCCUAUUGGUAAUUUGUCUCUGUGUGCGCUCAAUUAUCUGUGCCCAAAUGCAAAGUCGAAAAUUUUACGUCGUCGAUCGCUUUGACAACUGCCCGAACGAGAAACAUUUGAUAUUUUUCGUUCGCAAUUACACUUACGAGAAAUCAGGGCCAAACUUAAUUGUCAAUGGGUACGAGGACAUCACUAAGGACUCUGAGCAACUACUCUGGAUGAGUAUCGAGGUGGAGAAAUGCAAAGACAAGUCAAACCCGGACACAUGCGAGUAUUUUGUUACUUGGAAAUGGGACAAUGCUUGCUCCUUCUUUGCCGUCCUGCCGCCUUUCAGGUCUUACAUACAAGCACAUUCACCGGCGUGGAAGUGUCCACUGAAAAAAGGCACCUAUAAGGUGACAAACGCAACGAUGGAAGGUGAACUAGGAUUGCAGUUCCUGAAGGGUGACAGCAGAGUUUUGUGGAAACUACGCAUCAUCGUGAAAAAUCCAAGGGCGAAUGUCGUCAUCGAGUGCUUGGAUCUACAUUUCAGGAUCGUUUCUGUUCGGACGAAAUCUUGA